This 235-nucleotide ribosomal RNA is filed under the name uncultured bacterium. RNAcentral's name for it is "partial 16S ribosomal RNA". It matches the Rfam family "Bacterial small subunit ribosomal RNA", at positions 104 to 334 of the family's 1533-position model. The record is from RNAcentral.
CGGGGUAGAGUAACGCGUGAGGAGCCUGCCUCAAAGAGGGGGACAACAGUUGGAGACGACUGCUAAUACCGCAUAAGCCCACGGGUCGGCAUCGACCUGAGGGAAAAGGAGCAAUCCGCUUUGAGAUGGCCUCGCGUCCGAUUAGCUAGUUGGUGAGGUAAUGGCCCACCAAGGCGACGAUCGGUAGCCGGACUGAGAGGUUGAACGGCCACAUUGGGACUGAGACACGGCCCAG